This 340-nucleotide long non-coding RNA is filed under the name Spirodela polyrhiza (greater duckweed). Its description in RNAcentral is "long non-coding RNA (SPOL_LNC000394)". Lineage: Eukaryota; Viridiplantae; Streptophyta; Magnoliopsida; Alismatales; Araceae. The record is from RNAcentral.
UCCGGGGAGGUACUCCGUGGCCGUGGUCUCGAAUUGACGACGACGAUCGGUAUUGCCAAACAAGCGCCCCAAGCUUCCUGGUCGAGGAGUCCAACCAGAUCGUGCACACAAUGGAGGGGGCCACGGACGCUUCCCCAGUGCGAGGGGCUGUGAAACAGCUUCUUCGGGAUCUACUCGUAUUGGCACUACGGUGACUAAGACCACCAAGAGUAGCUCUCUCAUGGAGGGCAGGUCAAGGAGGAGGCAGGUUCGGUGAUCUAUUCUCCAAAUCAACUGACUAAUUAUUUCUGAGCUCAAGUGGUGGAGCAUGUUACCAAGCCCCACUAUUGAAGACCACAAC